RNAcentral lists this ribosomal RNA (301 nucleotides) under uncultured bacterium. RNAcentral describes it as "partial 16S ribosomal RNA". It matches the Rfam family "Bacterial small subunit ribosomal RNA", at positions 509 to 807 of the family's 1533-position model. The record is from RNAcentral.
CAGUAGCCGCGGUAAAACGGAGGGUGCAAGCGUUAAUCGGAAUUACUGGGCGUAAAGCGCACGCAGGCGGUCUGUCAAGUCAGAUGUGAAAUCCCCGGGCUUAACCUGGGAACUGCAUUUGAAACUGGCAGGCUAGAGUCUUGUAGAGGGGGGUAGAAUUCCAGGUGUAGCGGUGAAAUGCGUAGAGAUCUGGAGGAAUACCGGUGGCGAAGGCGGCCCCCUGGACAAAGACUGACGCUCAGGUGCGAAAGCGUGGGGAGCAAACAGGAUUAGAUACCCCUGUAGUCCCUGUCUCUUAUAC